RNAcentral lists this ribosomal RNA (459 nucleotides) under uncultured bacterium. Its description in RNAcentral is "partial 16S ribosomal RNA". It matches the Rfam family "Bacterial small subunit ribosomal RNA", at positions 338 to 795 of the family's 1533-position model. The record is from RNAcentral.
CCUACGGGAGGCAGCAGUGAGGAAUAUUGGUCAAUGGGCGAGAGCCUGAACCAGCCAAGUCGCGUGAGGGAGUACUGCCCUAUGGGUUGUAAACCUCUUUUGUCGGGGAGCACAAGCCGGACGUGUCCGGCUGUGAGAGUAACCGAAGAAAAAGCAUCGGCUACCUCCGUUCCCGCAGCCGCGGUCAUACGGAGGCUGCGAGCGUUAUCCGGAUUUAUUGGGUUUAAAGGGAGCGUGGGCGGGUCUUUAAGCGUGCCGUGAAAUUGUGUGGCUCAACCAUGAGAGUGCGGCGCGAACUGGAUACUUUGAGGGCGCUGAAGGCAGGCGGAAUUCGUGGUGGAGCGGUGAAAUGCUUAGAUAUCACGAAGAACCCCGAUUGCGAAGGCAGCCUGCCGCAGCGUUACUGACGCUGAAGCUCGAAAGCGCGGGUAGCGAACAGGAUUAGAUACCCGGGUAGUC